GAGGGAGACGCAAGAGGGAAGACAUAUGGGAACAUAUGUAUAUGUAUAACUGAUUCACUUUGUUAUAAAGCAGAAACUAACACACUGUUGUAAAGCAAUUAUACCCCAAUAAAGAUGUUUUAAAAAAAAGAGAGAAAGACAAAUACCGUAUGCUAACACAUAUAUAUGGAAUUUAAGAGGAAAAAAAAUGUCAUGAAGAACCUAGGGGUAAGACAGGAAUAAAGACGCAGACCUACUGGAGAACGGACUUGAGGACAUGGGGUGGGGGAAGGGUAAGCUGGGACGAAGUGAGAGAGUGGCAUGGACAUAUAUACACUACCAGACGUAAAAUAGCUAGCCAGUGGGAAGCAGCCGCAUAGCACAGGGAGAUCAGCUCGGUGCUUUGUGACCUCCUAGAGGGGUGGGAUAGGGAGGGUGGGAGGGAGGGAGACGCAAGAGGGAAGAGAUAUGGGAACAUAUGUAUAUGUAUAACUGAUUCACUUUGUUAUAAAGCAGAAACUAACACACCAUUGUAAAGCAAUUAUACUCCAAUAAAGAUGUAAAAAAAAAAAAAGUUAAACAUAUACCUAUUUUGUAUCCCAGCUAUUCCACUUCUCUGUAUUUACCCAAGAGAAAUGAAAGCAUGUCCACAAAAAGACUUGUUUAUGAAUGUUUCUGACAGCUUUAUUUGUAAUAGCCCCAAACAGAAACAGCACAAAUGUCUAUCAACAGGAGAAUGGAUGAACAAAAUAUGGGAUAUCUGUACUGUAGAAUACUACUCAGCAAUAAAAGGGAACAAACUAUUGAUACAAGCAACAGGGAUGAGUCACAAAAUAAUUACACUAAAGAGGAAGAAGCCGGGAUGGGUGUGGGAAGUAUAUACUACAUGACUCCAUUUAUGUGGAACUUUAGGAAAGGCAAAUGAACCUGUAUUGGCAGAUCAAUUUUGCCUGGGGAUGGGCGGAGGAAUAUUAAUGGGGGGGUGUAGAGAAAAUGAUUACAAAGGGGCAUGAGGAAAUUUUGGGGGUGACAAAUGUGUUCAUAAUCUUGAUUAUGAGGAUGGUUUCUUAUAUAUAUGUCAAAACUUACUGUAUACUUCAAGUAUGUGUAGUUUAUUACAUUAAUUAUACCCCUCCAUAAAGAAGUCCCACCCCCAAUGACUUACGUACCAUAAACAUUUUAUUUACAUCAGGAAUACACAUUCAUUGGACAGAUUUGCUUCUUUUGUUAGUUUUCAUGUGUGAUUCCUGCACUUGUAGGGCCAUGCUGCCUUUCUUGCAAAAUCUCGUUUUGUGAUGCAUUAUCUAAGAAACCCCCCAUCUCGUUCUCUUCAAAAUGGAAUAAGAACUUAAAGACAUAUGAGAAACAGUGUAAAUUUACCAACUCUCUAGACUUUGGGGAUUUCUGUCCCCUAAUCUUUUACUGUAUUAUCUCCUAUGUUUAACUCAACAAUGUUUUUGUGUGUGUAUGAUUUGUCCUAUCGUUCCAAAGCAUCCUACUGAGUUACUGAAAUAGUAUUUUCUUUAUAUAAUUAUAUGUCAGUGGUUUAUGUACUAUUUUUAUUAAAUUAUAUUAUUGCAGUGCCAAGUGUAACUGGCAUAAACAAGGUUGGGAACAAACAUGACUAACUUUUGGUAAGCACACAGCUUUGCAGGGGGAAACUGUAUGCAGACCCUGCCUACUAGAAGCUACCAGCCACUAGCAUCCACUGUACUGAAGGCAUUCAUCACAGUGCAGUUUUACAAAAUGAAUUGGAGUCAGUGCAUUUGCUGGAUUGGCUAAGGAAAAGUUGAUUGAGGAAGAUUCUACUGCUCAAGCAUGCUAAUGCUGACCUUCCUCAGCUGUAAGUAUUAAGAGUCUCUGCCUGGGGAUAGGGGUAUUAUUAAGGUUUAAGUGAAGUAAUGUAAAUAAAGUGCUUAGUGCAAUAAAGUGCUUUAGCACUUAUCCUGGCAUGUAGUAAGUGCUAAAAAUGUGCCUAAUUUUGAUCAUGUGUGUUAUUUCAGAAAACAUCUUUAUAACAUUAGGGCAGGAAGGACCUUAGAGAUUGACUCAAUCCGUUUAUUUUACAGAUGAGGAAAGUGGCUGAACAACACACACAUUUGCAAGCAGGGCUGAAGGUCGCGCAAUCGCCAACAAGUUGAUAAUCUCAGGAUGCUUCCCAGGAGGCUUCUUCCUAAGGGGCUUCUGAAAGUCUAGAGAGUUCUUUAAUACCAGGGGAGGAAUUGCACACUUUAUGUCAGACUCAUAAAAGAGCUUCUUUUGAGGGCAGCCUUACUUGUUCAGAAGGCAGAUCAUCUUCAAUAGCUGUGAACAUCUUUUAAAAACAUUUGCUGAAUUCUACUUUUGAAGUGUCGGUAUUCCUUCACACAGCUGAAAUCAGUGGGUGUGUGAAGCGAGCUAAAACCAGGCCUCAGUGAGCCGCGAAGGGAGUCAGGAGGUUGUGGGACUAAUAAACAGAUGAAAUCUGAUUUAAUAAGGUGGGUUAGAAAUUUUAUGAAACCGACGUUUGCUUUUUCCCACUUGGGUGUAGCUUCAAACUAAGACCUACGCCUUCUUGGGCUGGAAAAUGAUCCAUUUCUUCCCCUUCAUGGUGAAAACAAACCGGCCUACCAAUUGUGCUAUAGGGAUUGUAUUUUUCAUCUGAAGUUUGCCCAUGGAGGCUGGCAUCCACACUCCAGACUUGGUGCAGUGAACAUCACUUGCAAAUGCUAACACUUGGAAUGUGACGGAAACAGAUCAUGGUCACCCUGUGCUGGCCAGGAUGAUGCCCUUCGGUACUGGUGUUUGCCUCUACUGGCCCGAUGCAGCUUGAGGGAUCCAAGUUGCAAUGCACCUGCUGACAUGCUGCAGGGUUGUUAACCCCUGACAGGCAUCUGAACUCAGCCGACCAGGGCCAGUAACCUGGCUUCGGAGGCAGGAAGCCUGGGUUUAAAUUGUGCCUCUCACACACUCAGGCCCAUCACUUAACCUUUGGAAUCGUGCUUUCUGUCACAACAGGAAAACGUAAAUACCAACUUUCUAACAUUCUUAGAGUGAGGUUUAAUGAAUUAAUAGCUUCAUGAAUUUAUAAACUCUAAUGAGAAAUAGACACAAGAGGUUAUUAAAGUGAGCAAGUCAGUAAUGACUCCAUUUGCUUCUACUUUAAAAAAAUAUGUAAUGAGAACACUCCCUAACACCACACACAAAAAUAAACUCAAAAUGGAUUAAAGACCUAAAUAUAAGGCCAGACACUAUAAAACUCUUAGAGGAAAACAUAGGCAGGACACUCUAUGACAUAAAUCACAGCAAGAUCCUUUUUGACCCACCUCCUAGAGAAAUGGAAAUAAAAACAAAAACAAAUGGGACCUAAUGAAACUUAAAAGCUUUUGCACAGCAAAGGAAACCAUAAGCAAGAUGAAGACAACCCUCAGAAUGGGAGAAAAUAUUUGCAAAUGAAGCAACUGACAAAGGAUUAAUCUCCAAAAUUUACAAGCAGCUCAUGCAGCUCAAUAUCAAAAAAACAAACAGCCCAAUCCAAAAAUGGGCAGAAGACCUAAAUAGACAUCUCUCCAAAGAAGAUACACAGAUUGCCAACAAACACAUGAAAGAAUGCUCAACAUCACUAAUCAUUAGAGAAAUGCAAAUCAAAACUAAAAUGAGGUAUCACCUCACACCAGUCAGAAUGGCCAUCAUCAAAAAAUCUACAAACAAUAAAUGCUGGAGAAAAGGGAACCCUCUUGCACUGUUGGCGGGAAUGUAAGUUGAUACAGCCACUAUGGAGGUUCCUUAAAAAACUAAAAAUAGAACUACCGUAUGACCCAGCAAUCCCACUACUGGGCAUAUACCCUGACAAAAUCAUCAUUCAAAAAGAGUCAUGUACCACAGUGUUCGUUGUAGCUCUAUUUACAAUAACCAGGACAUGGAAGCAACCUAAGUGUUCAUCGACAGAUGACUGGAUAAAGAAGACGUGGUGCAUAUAUACAAUGGAAUAUUACUCAGCCAUAAAAAGAAACGAAAUUGCGUUACUUGUAGUGAGGUGGAUGGACCUAGAGUCUGUCAUACAGAGUGACGUAAGUCAGAAAGUGAAAAAAAAAAACUAUAUGCUAACACAUAUGUAUGGAAUCCAAAAAAAAAAGAUGGUUAUGAAGAACCUAGGGACAGGACAGGAAUAAAGACACAGACAUAGAGAAUGGACUUGAGGACAUGGGGAGGGGGAAGGGUAAGCUGGGACAAAGUGAGAGAGUGGCAUGGACAUAUAUACUACCAAAUGUAAAACAGAUAGCUAGUGGGAAGCAGCCACAUAACACAGGGAGAUCAGCUCAGUGCUUUGUGUCCACCUAGAGGGGUGGGAUAGAGAGGGUGGGUGGGAGAUGCAAGAGGGAGGAGAUAUGGGGAUAUGUGUAUUCGUAUAGCUGAUUCACUUUGUUAUAAAGCAGAAACUAACACACCAUCGUAAAGCAAUUAUACUCCAAUAAAGAUGUUAAAAAAAAAUAGCAUCUGGGACUUUUCUGGUUGUCCAGUGGUUAAGACUCCAUGCUUCCACUUCAGGGGUGCAGGUUUGAUCCCUGGUCAGGGAACUAAGAUCUUGGAUGCCGCAUAGCAAAAAAAAAAAAAAAAAAAGCAUCUAUCCCUGCCUUUAACUUUUGGUGUUAAACAUCUGUGACUUUCUCACUAAAAUAAAUCUUUCACAUGUCAUUCUUGACAUGCUAAAUGCUAGUCAAUUCAGCAUUUAUUGAGCACAUACUAUGUGCAGGUGUAGGAGCCAAAAGGAGUCAUGAUUAUUUGUUCAGAAGGCUGAUCACCUUCAAUAGCUGUGAACAUCUUUUGAAAACUCUGCUGAAUUCUACUUUUGAAGUGGUGGUAUUCCGUGAGAGGUGACAAGACUCCUCAAGGAGGGAGGUGUACCCGGGAGCCCCAUGGAGUGUGUGUGGUUCAGACAUCAACAGUCUUGAAUGAGCAAUCAAGGGCAUGUUCCCCAGACAGAAUGGAAACUGGCUGUUGGCCCUUGCCUGCCUCAUGUGAAACACCAAGUUUAAUUUCAGGUCUGUGUCAUGUGAAAGUAACUUCCUAAUGCUGGUGUUCUUAUUUAGCAAGUCUGCUUAACUAAGCCUCUUCUAUGAGUAGCUAAACGUACACGUAAUUCAGUUUUCUUUUUAAUUUUUAAUUAAUUAAUUAAUUAAAUGUUGGCCGCAUUGGGUCUUGGUUGCUGAGCACAGGCUUUCUCUAGUUGAGAGCGGGGGUGGGGCGGCUACUCUUCGUUGCUGUGUGCGGGCUUCUUGUUGCAGUGGCUUCUCUUGUUGUGGAGCACAGGCUCUAGGCACCCAGGCUUCAGUAGUUGUGGCACACAGGCUUAGUUGCUUUGUGACAUGUGGGAUCCUCCCGGACCAGGGCUCCAACCCGUGUCCCUUGCAUCGGCAGGUGAAUUCUUAACCGCUGCGCCACCAGGGAAGUCCCCGUAAUUCAGUUUUUAAUAAUCUAUCAUUAAUGGCUUUUUUUUUGAGUUGAUAAUAUCUUAUGAACCUUCAUAAGACUUAAUCCAAGAUGAGUUUUCUCUGUUGAGUGGUUCUGAUAGAUCCAGUACACUGUUACUUGGAUUAUCCUGAGUAACAGUGAAAUAAGUGGAGGCUGAAUCCUGGUUUUUACUCCUGGUUUAUUUGUUCAACUAAUUAACAUUUGGGGACUCCUUUAAAGUCACAGGUCUUGUAGAUAUACUUGAUUACUUAAUGUCAGCUGAGGGAUGUAAACUAAGGACAUUGAGGGAAAUAAAAUCUUGGAGUAUAGUUUUAGCUCAGAAAGCUCUUUACAGCUAUUAAUCAAAUGUCACCUUUACGAAGCCUACCCUGACCCCCCUAUUUAAACAGCAAUCCUCUGGCAUCCCUGAUUUCCCUUUUCCUGCACUGUUUUUUAAUAGCAGUCUUCACCUUCUGUCUUAUUUAUUAUGCUUAUUGUUUAUUGUGUGUGUCUCUAAUAAAAUCUAAGCCCCUUAAGGGCAUGUAUUUUUCUGGGGUGGGUGUGGGUGUCUGUUUCGCUGGUAAAUGCCAAAUGUCUAGAAUAGUGCUUUGUCACAGAGUAGGUGCUCUGAGUAGUUAUUGAAUGAAUGAAUAAAUAGGUGACCAGGAUCACAAAGAGUGAUGUUUUCAUUUGAUCACUCCAUUAAGACUAUUGCUAAGUUCAUCAGUGACCUCCAUAUAUUAAAGCUAGUGGACAUUUCUCAGCCCUCACUGUACUUAAAUUUUGAGCAUUUAAUACAGCGAUCACUCCCUUUGUCAGGGCACCAUGCCACAGGUUCCAGUUUUUCCUCUUACCUUACUGGCUAGCUUCCUCUCAAUCCUUCCCCACCUGGCUCUUUUCAUCUCCCCACUCACUUAACCGUGAAGUACCCAGUGGUCACUCUUCGACCCUCUUCUUUGUUCUAUCUAUACUCAUGGUCUCAUCCUGUCUCCUGACUUUAAAUGCUAACCAUAUAGUGAGGAUACCUACAUUACAUAUCUAGCCUAGACUUCUUCCCUUAACUCUAGGCUGCAUUAGUUCAAAAACAAAUGAACCCCACAUUUCAGUGGCUUUUACACUGACACACAUUAUUUCUUGCUCAUGGGUUUGUAGUUCAGCUGCAUCUCAGCUCCAGGCUAUAGGUUGGGUUCAGAUUUUUCCCUUUGUUCCAUAGAUGGAUCUUCUCUGUCUUCUCAUUCUAGGUACCAGUCUGAAGGCACCACCUCUGUCUGGUCUGGUCUAUUCUCUUGUAGCAGAGAGCAGGAAUGAAAGGGUAGGUGGGGAUUUUUGAUGGCCAAGACCAAAGUCAAUAAAAUAGGGAAGUAUACUCCAUCAGCUGAAAGGGAGAGAAUGAUGUCGAACAAUACAAUCUAGCCGAAUUGUCUAUUAGACAUUUCAGGCUUCACAUGUCCCACACCGAGUUUCUGAUCUUUCCCUCCGAAACUGCUCCUCCCACAUCCCUCUCCAUUUUAGUUACUGGCAACUCCAGUUGCUUAGACCAAGAUCCUUCGGAUCAUGCUGGACUCUUCUUCUGCAUAUUCUAUAUCCAAUAUUUUAGAAAGUACUGUCGACUCAGCCAUUGAAAUAUGUUUGGAAUCCAAACACUUCACACAGCCCAGUGCUGCUGCUUGGUCAUUGUCAAUGUCACUGUCAAGAGACAAAGUCAUUGUUUCUUGCUCAGCUCGUUGCAGUAGCCCUCCAGUCCCUCUUACUGCUUCUGCCUUGCCCUCUCAGUGAAUUUUCAGCAUAACAGUCCCACCUGAAACUGUGUAAUGCUUCCGCCUUUCUCUUAGAGUAAAAGUCAAAAUUCUUAGACUGGCCAACAAGAAACUACAUGGUCUGGCCCCCAGUUACUUCUCUAGUGCAUCUGUUACCACUCCUUCCCUUGUUUACUUUGUUUCAGUGAUGUUUCCUUGCUAUUUCUCUAACUUACCAAUGUGUUUCCACUUGCAUUAGUUUUCCAUCACUGAUAUAACAAAUGCCCACAAACUUAGCAUCUUCAAACAACAUAAAUUUAUUAGCUUACGGUUCUGUAGGGCUGAAGCCUGACACAGGUUUCGCUGGGCUAAAAUCAAGGUGUUGCCUGGGCUGCAUUCUUUUCUGGGGGCUCCAGAGGAGGAUCUGUUUCCUUGCCCUUCCAGCUUCUAGAGGCUGUCCACAUUCCUUGGUUCAAGGCCCCCUCCCUCCAUUUUCAAAGUCCACAAUGGUGAGUUGAGUCCUCCUAAUAUUGCAUCACUCCAACAUCAUUUUCUACCUCCCUCUUCCACUUUUAAGGACCUUUGUGAGUACAUUGGGCCCAUCCAAUAAUUCAGAAUAAUUUCCCUAUUUUAAGGUCAGCUGGUUAGCAACACUGCUUCCGUCUGCAUUACUCAGCACCCAGUUCUACAAGGGUUAAGUCAUAACCAGCUGCAGUUGCUAACCGACAAGGCACCCUGAGAAGAAGUUAAGAUGAUGACAGGGUGAGGCCCUCUGUGCUUUGGACAAGAAGGCCCCUUAGGCAGUUAGAUGCAUAUCUCAGGAAGAAUUUGAAUGAACCCAGAUUCUUGCAUCUUCCCAUACAUAGAAAAGCACUAAAAUCAUUAACUUGAGAUAUUGGUUCUUUGUGAUUAGCAGUAGUAGCCUUUUACCAAGAUGUAUGCUUGACUGAAAGUAUUCCCUUGCCAAAAAUCAUAUAUAAACUGGCUUCUCUCUCGCCUCUUCAGAGCAGUUCCCUCAGAGCUACUGAAAGGCUGUCUCCUGAGCUAUACUCCUCAGCAAGACCCAGAAUAAAACUUAAACUUACAACUCUUAUGUUGUGUGUUUUUCUUUAAGUUGACAACUGGAAUGAUCACGAGGAGACAUCUGUCAAAAAUAAAUGUAAAAUGUGUGCAGGGGUCCCAAAAGCCAGCUACAUGUUAUGAUGGGGGUGACAUACUUAUUGGGAACAUUUGACUCAACAUGGAUUAGGAUGUGAUGCAGAAAUGUGGAAUCUAGAACUACACUCUCCACAAGGUAUCCAUUUAACAAACCGGGCUGUGCAAAAUAAAAUUAGUUAAAUAAAAUAGAACACAAAUUUUAGUUCUUUGGUUUCAGUAACCACAUUUCAAGCACCUACUAGCCCAGGGAGGCUGGUAGUUACUGAGUGAGACGGUGCAGCUGUAGAACAUUUCUAUCAUUGCAGAAAGUUGUGUUGGAUGGUGCUAGUCUAGAGUGCAGGCAGUGGUCACGUCUUUAUACCAUGCACUGGUCCUACCACAUCAAGGAUAUGGUUAUGCUGGAUCUGAGUAACACAUUUCAGAGGGACAUAGACCAAAUAGAGCAUUUGAGAUUAGAGGGCCUGGAAAAUGAGGGAAAUGAAAAUCAUGCCCUACGAGGUACGUUGAAGGACCUGGGUAAUUAGCUAGGAGAAGGGACAGUACCUCCUCUACGCUGAACGUCAAGGCUAACACGAGGAAGAGGAAGGAGUUGCCCUCAUGGCCCAAGGGGUAAACCAAAGACUAAAUUAGUGGACGUUAGAGGAAGCAGGAAUCGUUAUGCUAUGCAAACUCAAUAAUUUAGAGGAGUUCUGGAGUCAGACAGCCUGUGUUCAAAUCCUGCACUGAAUCUUCCUUUUUGGAUGAAUUUGGGCAGGUUAUGUAACCUCUCUGAGCUCCAUUUCUCUCAUCUGUAGAAUAGGACCAUAUUAGUAUCUUCCUCAUUGCUUUAUUGAGGAGAAUAAAAAAUAUUAUAUAUACAAAAUUGAAUAUCUAACAAGUUAACUAGUAUUAUUAUGUCAUAUUCUGGCUGAUAUAAGGAAGUUCAUCUAAACACUGAAUGAGCUGCUCUGGGGUUAUAAGUUCCCAUCGCUGGAGAUGUUUAAUGUGAUGACAAUUUUGGGGCAGGGAGUAUGGAGGGCACUGAAGCUCUGAGUAAGAGGCUGAGUUGGAGUAUUACGUUUCCUUCCUGUAUAAGCAUGUACGGUUAUUUUGUUUUGUUUUGUUUCAUUUUCUGUCUAUUUUCACCAAGGCUGUCCCCAAGUCUUGAGCAUUUUUGACUCGGUCAGGUGACAGUUCAUACUUUCUUGCUGACCUUGAGGGAUGGAGCAGGAGGAAGAGGAAGGGAGGGAAGGAGGAUGAAUGAAGGCUGAGCCUCAGCCUCUGGGUCCUGCCCAGUACCCACCAGUCGGCACUCCUCAAAAAGAGACUAGAGAAGCAUAAGGCCAGUCCUCAGACCAGUGCAGGUAUUCUAGAAAGAACGAGGGCCAGAGCAGCCUUAGGCUUCUGUGGCAGGUUCUGAGAGAAGUCCAGAGUGGUGUAUGCCUGUCCUCCCAGCAGCUCACCUAAUGGCUAACUGUGGAUUUGUAGUAGCUGAUAGUUGCUGUAAGUCUAAACUGUCUAAACUGAAUUGUAGGAAUAAGGCAUAUGAGAAAUUUUAUCAGGUCAGCAGUCAAAAUGAUCGGAUGGAAACAUUUUCAAAACUACUUUGCACAGAACCUUGCAAAAAGAAGGGGGUUGGGAUGGAUGGAAAACAUGAUGAAUGAAUCUUUAUGGGUAAAAAUAGGAGCUAACAUAAAUAUUUAAUACCUAAUACUCAAGUUAUUGCUCACCUGGACUGUAUUCAAAAGUAAAAUCAUAGUAUAAUACCAGAAACUUUAGCAGGGCCUCAGAUACAAUUCUCACACUAGUAGCUUAAGAAGUUUUAGUUUGUAAAUGUUCAUUUCUCCCUUAAGUCUAUGUAUCUUGCAUCCAACAGGGCACUUCUUGGCCCAUUUCCUAUCAUUUGCAUUUACCUGGUCUCCUCCCAGUGGAGGAGGCUCACCUGUACAGCUUAUUAGAAUAUGCCUGGAUGAUGGCUGUGCCUCCUGGCUAAAACACCAGGAUCUCUCUGUAGGGAAGGGGCCCCCCGGGGUGUUCAGGUUCUGCUACCCAGCUGCAAAAGUGUGACCGCAUCACUGUGUGUUGGGGUCUUGACUUAAUAGGGUGUUUACUUACUAACUAGCCUAAUGUCUGUCUGUCUGUCUGUAUUUUAAGAUUUCCUGAUGUCAUUAGGCACUAAAAACGUUUAAAAAUGUAUUUUACUAAUCAUUGUCAGAAAUGUGCUAUCAGCACAUGUAGAGGAGUUUGUGAAUACAGGGAAAGGAUCUAGCACUUUGAGAGUUUUCCUGGCAAGAUUUUCUGAAAGGCAGGCCAAGAGGAUGCUUAGGGCAUCUGCAAAACAGCUAUUUUGAGAACAAAAUUCCAAAUAUUUUAUUUGUUAAUUGGUAACUCAAAAAACAAACCAAAACAAAACAAAAAAGAAGUCAUCAUGACUUUUUUUUUUUUUUUUCAUCAUGACUUCUUAAUCUAAGUUUAGUGACAGGGGGUUAUUUAGAACACAGGGAAAGAUGGGAAACCUGGAUUCCUCCCAGUUCCAUACUUUGAGAUCUACUCUGUGGAGUGAAUUGUGGCUGGGUUCCUCGAGUGGGUUUGCCAGUUGUGGACUACAGAUACAGCUUUAUCAUCUUUCUGUUGUUGGUCUAGUGUAGAUCAUUCAUCCUUCUGUCCCUAGUGCCUCACCCAGCAUCUGGUUCAGGGUGAGUCCUUAAUAACUGUGGUCUAUGUCAAACUCUGCCCUGGCUGGCUUGCCCACGGCUCACUUAAGUGGAAUACAGCCUGGAUCCCAACUGUAGUUUAGUUUCGUUUGUUCAGAGCAAAAUAAACUUUCUUGAGACUUUUUCAGCCUAACCAUGGUAAACAAUCACUAACUCUGGCAGAAGACGAGGCCACCUUAACCUCUGUAUAAAGGUGGUUCAGGCCCGUGGCUGGGUGACGGGCCGACCCGGCUAGCCGCGACGCCGGCUACAUCUGCAGUGCUCAGUAGGUGGCGCUCGUGCUCUCUUUGUGCCGGAGCCGGCGGCAGCCAGCGCUGAGGCCGUGGGUUUGGUCCAGAUGGUCAACUCAAAGCAGCUCCUUGGGCAAGCAGCUGCACAAACCCAUGAUCGGCGCGGUGGCAGCCGCCUCUGACUGUCCCUGCUCGCAGGCUGGUUCAGAGUAAAGGCCUUUGGAAUCUGUGAGGCUGGAGACAAGAAGCUAAGCCACUGUCUAAAAUAAGCAGGUUAGGAGUCUGCUCUCUGGUUCCCUGUAGGAGAGUCCGGGAGCAGCUUGGAGGCUGAGACCAGGCUGCAGGGAGGCUCUUCCCUCCUGUAACUCUGUUCUGGAAAAUCUCAUCAAUGUGGCCAACUCUCUAAAGUCCUGUCUUGGAACCAAAUUAGUGAAAAUCAAGAGCAUCUUGAACCAGUGACAGAAUUAUAUUUUUUAUACCUAUGUGCUGGCUUCUGGUCAGUCUUAAUUUCUAACAUUCUGUCUUAUUGCCAAUAUAAGAGCAUUAGCCCUCCUCAGACAGUGCCUCCCUCUAUUUGGGGUAUAGAAAAUGUGGUCACCAUAAUUACCCUCCAUUUUCUGACAGCUGAGUCUCGAGCAAUGUUAUGGACCGAAUGUUUGUGUUCCCUCCAAGUUCCUUUGUUGAAAUCCUAAUCCCCAAUGUGAUGGUAUUUACAGGUGGUGCCCUUGAGAGGUGAUUAGGUCGUAAGGGUGGAGCCCUCAUGAAUGGUAUUAAUGCCCUUGGAAAAGAGGCUCCAGAGAGCUUUCUCGCCCCUUCCACCAGGUGAGGACACAGUGAGAAGAUGGCCAUCUAUCAACCAGGAAGCAGGCUCUCACCAGACACUGAAUCUGGUGGCACCUUGAUCUUGGGCUUCCCAGCCUCCAGAGCUAAAUAUGAGAAUGUUACAAAUGAACAAGAAAAAGACAGAUGACCCAACGGGAAAAAAAGGGAAAAAAAUCAUGCAUGUCUAAAAAGAGGAUAUCCAUCCACUUGGCCAGUAACUAUAAGAAAAGAUGUUCAACCUCAUUAGUCAUCCAGGAAAGGCAAAUUAAAAUGACAAUCAGAUACUGUUACACACACCCAAAUGGCUAAAAUUAAACUGCCUGAUGAUACCAAGAGGAGGACAUAGAGCAACAGCAGCUCUCAUACACUGGUUGUUGAAAUAAUUGGUACAAUCUCUUUGGAAAACGAUUUGGUAGUAUCUCCUACAGCUGAAGAGGCACAUGCCAUAUAACCCAACAAUUCCUCUCCUAAGUAUAUAGGUAGGAAAUGUCACAGCAAAGUUAUUUGUAGCAGCCAAUAAUUGGAAACAAUUUAAAUGUCAGCCAGCAUUAGAAUGGAUAAAUAAAUUGUGGAAUAGUCAUAUAAUAGAUUACUGUAUGACAGUGAAAAUGAAUGAACUACUACAAUCAUGGAUGUGUAACAUGGAUGAAUCUCACAUGUAUAGUUUCGAUCACAGAAGAAGACACAGAAGAAUACCUUUAUAAAGUAAAAAACCCCAACAACCACAACAGCAUACAUACACAUAUAUACACACAGAAGUAAAACAAAUCCCUGUUGCUGUACGUCAGGAAGGUUGCUCCCUCUGGAGGUGUGGAGGUGAGGGAACUUCUAGGACACUCGGCUGUGUUUUAUUUCUUGACCUGGGUGGUAGUUUACACGAAAGAAUUCUCAUUGUACUAAUUCAGUAUUUUUGCAAUAAACAGAUUUUAAAGAUAUGUUGAGAAAUUAAAGAGAAAAAUGAGAUUUUUAAAACAUUUUGAUGUAAGUUCAAUGAUUAUCAUUGUAAACUCUUCUUUUUGGUGUGCCGCACUUCAAUUAUUUCAGCUUUCUCCUCAUCCUUCUUUCCCAGGGCUCUCUGAGUGCAGAUGGGCAGCAACCUGACUCACACCCUCUUAAACAAAAAGGGAAAUGCUUGAUCUGUAAAGGCCAACUGGAUUCAGGGGCUCAAAUAUGGUUAUCAGGAUUAUGUCUGUUCUCUCAUCUUACAACUCCACUCCCUUCCUCUUUUUUUUUUUUUUUUUUGAGGUACACGGGCCUCUCACUGUUGUGGCCUCUCCCGUUGCGGAGCACAGGCUCUGGACGCGCAGGCUCAGCGGCCAUGGCUCACGGGCCCAGCCGCUCCGCGGCAUGUGGAAUCCUCCCGGACCGGGUCACGAACCCGUGUCCCCUGUAUCGGCAGGCGGACUCUCAACCACUGCGCCACCAGGGAAGGCCCUCACUCCCUUCCUCUUGACACUAUUCUGCACGAAGACUAUCUUCACGUGGUAGAAUUCCAGCAGAAAGAACCAAGAGGUAGAUUUCACUGGGCUCUUCCGGGUAAACUUAGGCACACUGAAUUCAAGGGGCUUCAGUACCCACAAACCCCAAGAUAACAUAAGAGUAAAAACAGUGUGGUUGCCAUGAAGCAAAUGCAACUUCAUGACAUGUCAAGUAGCCUCCCGCCCCUCUUUACAGCAGAUUAAAACCCCUCCUCUGUGGAAAUCCUGGAGCUGCUGCUGUCUGUGAACUAAAUACCAUAUGGAGUGUGAUGCUGCUUCAGGCUGCCCUGGAGGCUAGGAUGGGUGAGGGGGCCUAAGGGUCUGUGAUUGACGGCCCCACCUAGACUCUAUGUAUCCAGGACACAGUGCUUCCUCCAAAGAAAGGAUGCGGGCAGGCAAGAGCCAUGUGUCCACUCUUUGCUAAAUAAUUUUUACUUUUGCACAUUAGAAAAAGUGUAAUGCACACUGCCAAAAUGCCCAAAUGGACAAGAAAAAGACAGACACCCAAUACUGUACCCACAGGUUAUGACUAUUGGUUUGCGUCAUCCUUGCUAAUAUUUGAUAUUAUCAAUAUUGAAAUUUUUGUCAGUCUAAUGAGCAAAAGUGAUAGCAUCUCAUUGUUUUACUUUUUAUCGGCCUGAUGUGUUUCGGUCGUUUGCAUUUCUUCUUCUAUGAACUGCCCAUCCUAUUCCAUGCCAGUGGUGUACAAAUGGGGGAUGGGGCACACAGCAAGAGUGAUCAUCUCUGCCAGGGAGGACAAUUUUACCACUGAUGCUAUUCAGGAUUGCUGUGCAUGAUGAUGAUAAAAAGAAGACUGGCUUGCAGCUGGUCUUAUUACCAUUUUAAAAUUCUCUAUAGACAAUGCCCCCUCUCCCUCAUCGCUGGUGCCUGGGUGGGGUGCUCCUACUGUCUCUCCCACGUUCUUCUGAGUUGUUUGUCUUAUUGCUUUGUAUGAUUUCUGUUUGUAUUUUUUUUCUUUUUUUUUUCUGUUUGUAUUUUGGACAUUAAUGCUUUGUUGUAUUUAUUGUGACUAUCUUCUCCCAUUCUGUUCUUGUCUUUUAAUUUUAUUUAUGGUUAGGUGUUUUGUUCCCUUUAACUUUUGAAGAUCAUCAGUUAACUUGUAUGGUAGGCAAUUAAUUUGUUUUAAAAACUCUCACUCUCUUUCCUUUGGGCAUUGCUUUAAAUUACUCCCAGACUGAAUUGGAGGACUUCUGGAUCCAUUUUCUAAUGACUGACAAGGGAGCAGCCAGAUGGUCUAGCUAUGACAGCACAGCUCGUCAAUACUAGAUAUUUUGGGGAGAUGAAUUGUAUCAGAGCAAAAAAUCUCUCUGCGCAAAGGAUGAGUCAAGGGCAUGACUGACUGGCUGCUAGCAUCUGCAAUCAACUCUGGUUUGCUACCCUCUGACUCACUGAUUAAAGCAUAAAUAGAUUGGGCAGGAUCUUGGCUUUUAGUUCAGAGAAACUUUCUUGAUAUUCAGGGGGUUGGUAGAGGAGAUUAUAACUCUGCCUCCAAGGAUGCCGCCUUUGUUAGGAACGGUGACCACGUGAGAACUUUCUUUUGCAUGUAGAAAGACCAGAAUAAAGUUAGCCUUUCUGCUGCCACUGCUUAUGUUCCUUGCUCAAGCUAUGGCUGGUCUUUGUGAAUUUCCCCGGACAUACCCAUAGCCUUGCCUGAGGAUGGGACUUGUGAGUCAGUGGUGGCCAUCACCUUGGGCUGGUGGUGUAUGCAUGUAUUUCAUGAAUAGCUGCCACUACCACUUACAGCCUCACUUACCUGCAUGUUUGUUCAGAGGCAGAUUGUCAGCCAAAAAAGAAUGAGCCCUGUGACACUGCAAGCAAAAAAAGGAUUAGCUGUGCAAACAGAAGUCUGCAACAAGACAUGAUCCUCUGAAAAACAAGCCAGCCACAUGCCUAAAACCUCAUCUAUAGUAUUUCAGCUUUUCCGUUCCCAGCCUCAUCGCGCACACACCAUUAACUUGCACACGCCAGAAACUCUCACACAGCCACACACUUAUGUAGGCUCACGUCAACUUAAUAUGCAGAAAUAUAGUCACAUACAAUUAUAAACAUUCACAUAGAACUACAUUCAUACCACACACCUGCACAAAACUACACACAUACACUGAUACAUGUUGCACAUACAUCCUCAUACAUGCCCUCACAUACAGGUACGCACUCACACACAUUAUACAUUCACACACAAAUAACCACACACACAUUUCAUAUAACCUUCCUUCUCUACCAGGAACACACACUUUCUCACCUGGAGAUCUGGGUAGCAUUUGUAAUAAAAAUGCUCCCAGAAGUUUCCUUCCUGCUGUUUGGCUGCUGAAAUUUGUGGGACAAGUAGUGGGAGGGACACUCAGGCCUGAGUCAGAUGACCAAGUGCUCUGACUGGGAGCUCUGACUGGUGCUCUGACCAGGGGCGACCACAGAACCUCACACACAGAAAGACUUCAAUAUUUAUUGAGAAAAAUCAAAGAAUUUGUGAUUUACCCCAUAACCUUUUCUUUGUCUAAAUUUUAAAAUUAAAAACAACUUUUUAUUAGAGUAAUUUCUUGUCUCUUUCCCCUUGCCUAACUUCUAACAGACAUGCCCAAGGUGAUAUGCAGAUCUCUUAUACUAAAACCCUCUCUGGAGAGUAGAAAACCCACAUAACUUCCUAAGUCUUUUGAGAAUGUAAUCGGAGCUGUAAUUAGAGCUCAUCUAAUCCAAGGCUGUCAUGUUAUAGAUGAGUGAACUGAGGCCCAGAGAUAUUAAGUGAUUUCUGCAAAGUCACCCUGCUGGUUGGUAGCAGAACAGGGACAAGGGACUCAACAGCCUGAUUCCUGGACCAGUGCUAUCCUACACUUUGCACUUUGGACUUGACUGAUUUUAUU
This is a long non-coding RNA of Orcinus orca (killer whale), 16405 nucleotides long. RefSeq lists it as uncharacterized. The record is from RefSeq and is a predicted model, not a curated record. NCBI's taxonomy places the organism in Eukaryota, Metazoa, Chordata, Mammalia, Artiodactyla, Delphinidae. The transcript is spliced from 3 exons.